RNAcentral lists this ribosomal RNA (253 nucleotides) under uncultured bacterium. RNAcentral's name for it is "partial 16S ribosomal RNA". It matches the Rfam family "Bacterial small subunit ribosomal RNA", at positions 524 to 776 of the family's 1533-position model. The record is from RNAcentral.
UACGGAGGAUCCGAGCGUUAUCCGGAUUUAUUGGGUUUAAAGGGAGCGUAGGCGGGUUGUUAAGUCAGUUGUGAAAGUUUGCGGCUCAACCGUAAGAUUGCAGUUGAUACUGGCAUCCUUGAGUACAGUAGAGGUAGGCGGAAUUCGUGGUGUAGCGGUGAAAUGCUUAGAUAUCACGAAGAACUCCGAUUGCGAAGGCAGCCUGCUGGACUGUAACUGACGCUGAUGCUCGAAAGUGUGGGUAUCAAACAGG